ACAGCCUGGAACUUCACUUGGAGUUAAUAACAACUUUUUACAAUUUCUUCUCUUUUCUGAAUAAGGAAGUUGUAAAAGACUUUUUUUUUUUUUUUUUUUUUGGGGGGGGGAGGAAGGGGAGACAGGAGGAAGAGGGGCCAGCAGGAAGGGGGAUAUAUAGCCACAGUUGUGGCAGGGAAUUUCAAUAUCUGAUGGUAGAAAUAGUGGCUGGAAUUUUUGGCACUAACAAUGACUUUUCAGACUUUUUUAGAAUUCACAAAAGUAAAGAAACUUCAAGAGUUACCUGAAGAAGUCACAAGAAGUUGCACUGUGAAUGACACGGACAAGCUAAUGGCCUAAGCAGCACUGAGACAAGUUCAGGACAUCUUGUGACACCCUACCAAAGAAGGUGAGUUGAGGCCAUGAGUAUGCAACUCUUCUGACCUUAGCUUUUGUUGCAUAGGAAUGAGGACAACGUGGUAGACCAAAGGCAGGCAAAUACGUUCCAGUAUUUCAUAAAUGCAAACACUCACAGGAUUUAUGCUAGUUGAAAUUCAGAUUAAUUUAUUUCUUAAUUAGGAUUACCCACACUUUGCUAAUACAAAAGGAAAAGAAAUCCACUGCCUGAUAUAAUAUGGCCUUAUAUGCUAUCUCAUAAAAGUCUUAAUGUAAAUCUCCAUUCAAACAGGAAAACUCAGUGGUGAAAUAUGAGACAACCUCCAGGCAUCUGGGGAACUUUCAUCCCAUCAGAUAAGCCAGCCCAGGAACCUACUUACCUCUCCCAUGAGAGAACUCGGCAUUUACUCCAGAAACAUCACUCUCUGGACCACAUGUGGCAAGGCAGAAUCUGGAGGGGAACUGCUGAAACGGAUUCCUUAAAACAAAGACUCCAGAUGGAUUUUGAAUCUCCAAAAAUGAAAUAGAACAACCCACUUUUUAGCUAGAGAAUGGCUGCACAAAACAGAAUUAGAGUUUGAAAGCAGAUCUCCCCUUCUCAUCACAACGAGUACUCAGUGUUUUCUUUUGCUGCAAUGAGUUACAUACAGGUGACAGCAACCUAUGGGAAGGGACUCAUGUAUCUCUGUAUUGGCAUGUUGUACUUUCUGAGAAGCCAUAGGGUACCUGAGGGACCAGCUCUUCAGAAGGGUGCAGGUCUCUCAUACAGUUUGUAUCAUGUCUUAGUCCUGGCUGCUCUCUGAUCUUCUCAACAGUUUUCCUGUCUGCUAAAUCUCACAUCAUGACUUCGUGCCCUCUCUGUACUCUGGGGGCACUCCUCAGAUCUGUCGGUGUCCACAGAGUCUGAACAAUGCACAGCAGAUGGUACCACAGACACAAGUCCUCCUCCCUGCUACCUACCCACACUCUUAGAGAAUGCAGUAAGCCACAAACAAACAAGUAAAACAUGUGCCAGGACUCUCAAAGGAAACAUACAGUUUGAAAGCUUCUCUUCCUGUUUCUCAGGCUAAACACCCCGGGUGUUUGUGGAAGAUGCUGAUCAUGCCCUUUCUGAAUAAUCACAUGCUAGAGGUUAAACUUUCACCAUCCCCUUUACCGUGCAUACUGCAAGACCUUUGACAAGUAAAUGGCUAAUGAAAUACUCAGAGAAUUGCUUCAUAAUAUGAAAUUUAUGUUCUACAAUGCAAUCUACAUUCAGUCAACAAACUAAGAUGCAGAACAAUAUCUGGUCUGCAGGAAACAAACAGCUUUUCCUGAUGCCAAAGGGAGCUGCUCAAUUUACCCUGGAUUUUCGGAGGGCACUGACCAUCAGACUGGAGAAUAUUUAAUAUUUGAAAGUGCAUCUUCUUCUUUUGUAUCACCACUAAAGUUAUUUGGUCUUCUCCCAGCUUUUAGAAAUUACCUCUGGUUUCUAGAACAACUUGGAUACUUCCUUCAUAUACAAAAUGUCAUUCCUGUACCUUACAAGAUACACAGUGUAUCUGCUGGUCAAAGCCAUCCUUUGGAAACACAGGCAAACACACCCCAGAAUGUCUUUUACUGAUAAAAAU
Long non-coding RNA from Cairina moschata (Muscovy duck), 1985 nucleotides. Lineage: Eukaryota; Metazoa; Chordata; Aves; Anseriformes; Anatidae. The record is from Ensembl.